GAUACCAAAAUCCAAUUUGGAUAUUAAAAUGGUGAAAGUUUUAAGUCAAGUUAGAGGGAGGGCAAUUUUAGAAGAACAAGUGUGUUUAUUUAACACUACAUAGAAUUGCAUCAAGGAGAAGAGCAUUACGACAGCCGUUGCGCUCAGCCAUGCGCUACAAUGCAUUUGGUGGCAUAGUUUUUUGUCCAGAGCAAUGCGUCCAUAAUUGUAGCAAUGCACUAGUACGCGUCCCAUAAGCUCUAUUUAAGCUAAAACCACAUAUUUUUGCAAGGGUUCUAACAGAGGAGGCAUUGG
This 294-nucleotide long non-coding RNA is filed under the name Cicer arietinum (chickpea). Its description in RNAcentral is "long non-coding RNA (CARI_LNC002289)". The record is from RNAcentral. Lineage: Eukaryota; Viridiplantae; Streptophyta; Magnoliopsida; Fabales; Fabaceae.